UGCAAGUUGAGCGCUGAAGAUUGGUACUUGUACCGAUUGGAUGAGCAGCGAACGGGUGAGUAACGCGUGGGGAAUCUGCCUUUGAGCGGGGGACAACAUUUGGAAACGAAUGCUAAUACCGCAUAAUAGCUUUAAACAUAAGUUUUAAGUUUGAAAGAUGCAAUUGCAUCACUCAAAGAUGAUCCCGCGUUGUAUUAGCUAGUUGGUGAGGUAAAGGCUCACCAAGGCGAUGAUACAUAGCCGACCUGAGAGGGUGAUCGGCCACAUUGGGACUGAGACACGGCCCAAACUCCUACGGGAGGCAGCAGUAGGGAAUCUUCGGCAAUGGACGAAAGUCUGACCGAGCAACGCCGCGUGAGUGAAGAAGGUUUUCGGAUCGUAAAACUCUGUUGUUAGAGAAGAACGACGAGGAGAGUGGAAAGCUCCUCGUGUGACGGUAUCUAACCAGAAAGGGACGGCUAACUACGUGCCAGCAGCCGCGGUAAUACGUAGGUCCCGAGCGUUGUCCGGAUUUAUUGGGCGUAAAGCGAGCGCAGGUGGUUUAUUAAGUCUGGUGUAAAAGGCAGUGGCUCAACCAUUGUAUGCAUUGGAAACUGGUAGACUUGAGUGCAGGAGAGGAGAGUGGAAUUCCAUGUGUAGCGGUGAAAUGCGUAGAUAUAUGGAGGAACACCGGUGGCGAAAGCGGCUCUCUGGCCUGUAACUGACACUGAGGCUCGAAAGCGUGGGGAGCAAACAGGAUUAGAUACCCUGGUAGUCCACGCCGUAAACGAUGAGUGCUAGAUGUAGGGAGCUAUAA
This 796-nucleotide ribosomal RNA is filed under the name uncultured Lactococcus sp. RNAcentral describes it as "bacterial SSU rRNA". It matches the Rfam family "Bacterial small subunit ribosomal RNA", at positions 56 to 835 of the family's 1533-position model. Lineage: Bacteria; Bacillati; Bacillota; Bacilli; Lactobacillales; Streptococcaceae. The record is from RNAcentral.